RNAcentral lists this ribosomal RNA (254 nucleotides) under uncultured bacterium. RNAcentral's name for it is "partial 16S ribosomal RNA". It matches the Rfam family "Bacterial small subunit ribosomal RNA", at positions 524 to 776 of the family's 1533-position model. The record is from RNAcentral.
UACGUAGGGGGCAAGCGUUGUCCGGAAUUAUUGGGCGUAAAGAGCGCGUAGGCGGUCCGAUAAGUCGGCUGUGAAAGUCAGGGGCUCAACCCUUGAAAGCCGGCCGAUACUGUCGGACUAGAGUCCGGAAGAGGCAAGUGGAAUUCCCGGUGUAGCGGUGAAAUGCGCAGAUAUCGGGAGGAACACCAAUGGCGAAGGCAGCUUGCUGGGACGGUACUGACGCUGAGGCGCGAAAGCGUGGGGAGGCAAACAGG